Molecule: long non-coding RNA, 728 nt
Organism: Apodemus sylvaticus (European woodmouse)
Lineage: Eukaryota; Metazoa; Chordata; Mammalia; Rodentia; Muridae
Exons: 3
Source: RefSeq, a predicted model, not a curated record
UUGGUGCAGGGAGGACCCCCCUGGGCAGAAGGCAAGGUCCAUCCUAGUCUGUUAAUUUGAUAAAGAGCAUGGAGUUCUCGCUCCAUGACAGACACUUAUCUAUGAGCCAGUGACACAGCAACGAACACAACACAGGUUGCUGCUCUCCUGGUGGAACUGAUCUUGUGACUCCACUUAUCUGGCUGUGAACAUUAGGUUUCAGCACUGACACAGCAGCUCUUACCUUGUCUGCUGGAACAUGGUGUCUGUCACAUGCUGUCACAUGCCACUGGCUGAGGGUCAUGAGUCGCAAGGUUGGUGUUCUGGAUGCAAACAGCACAGCCAGGGCUUCCUACACACCUGCUGCCAAAAGGAGGGACGUGAAGAGUAACCAGGCUGCCGGACCUCGAGGUGCUUCUGAGUUCGUGACAGGAUUACCAGACAACCGGUGAGGAUGUCGGGCCCCUGACAGAGGAGAAGCAAACGAUGAUGACAGAGGGGCCAUGAUGGUUCCUGGUCGGCUGUUUCUUAGAAUAUAUCAUAGUCCAGGAAGAUGGCACUGAGCCUGGGGACCUGGGUUCAAUCCCUGGCAUUCAUAUGGUGGAAGGAGAGAACCAAUUCCUGAAAAUUGUCCUCUGACCUACACAUGUGCAUGUGUGCACAUCUGUGUGUAUACACACACUUUAAAAUAUAUGAAUAAGUGUAUGUGUGUGUAUGUACGUGUAUGUGUAUGUAUAAAUAAAUGCAAU